GGAUGUAAAGGCAAUCUGGCUGUGACAUUUGUCACCCCAUUGAUCGCCAGGGUUGACCUGGCUGAUCUGGCUGGCUAGGCGGGUGUCCUCUUCCUCCCUCUACGCUCCAAACAUGUCCCUCCUGAAACUGUGCGCUCGGGUGAAGAGGACAACCUUCCUGGACAGAGGAAGAUCAUUCUUCAGUCAGGGGUAUCUGAGUAGCAGCAUUCCCUUGCUAGAACCUCCAAAAAAACUCUCAAGGUCUGUACGGUAGUUAAGCUUCCAAGGCUCCAGACACAUCCAAAUGAGGCACUGCAGGGGGCAGUAUGCCUUUUU
Molecule: unclassified non-coding RNA, 315 nt
Organism: Vicugna pacos (alpaca)
Lineage: Eukaryota; Metazoa; Chordata; Mammalia; Artiodactyla; Camelidae
Gene: 7SK
Rfam family: 7SK RNA
About the family: 7SK was discovered as an abundant small nuclear RNA in the mid-70s but a possible function has only recently been suggested. Two independent studies have found that 7SK RNA binds the CDK9/cyclin T complex (known as elongation factor P-TEFb).
Source: Ensembl